GAUCCUGGCUCAGGAUGAACGCUAGCUACAGGCUUAACACAUGCAAGUCGAGGGGCGAGCAUGUUGGUUUGCUUGCAACCAAUGAUGGCGACCGGCGCACGGGUGAGUAACGCGUAUCCAACCUUCCGCAUACUCGGGAAUAGCCUUUCGAAAGAAAGAUUAAUGCCCGAUGGUUUCCCGAAUCCGCAUGAGAACGGGAAUAAAGAUUCAUCGGUAUGCGAUGGGGAUGCGUCCC
This 235-nucleotide ribosomal RNA is filed under the name uncultured bacterium. Its description in RNAcentral is "partial 16S ribosomal RNA". It matches the Rfam family "Bacterial small subunit ribosomal RNA", at positions 15 to 239 of the family's 1533-position model. The record is from RNAcentral.